RNAcentral lists this non-coding RNA (26 nucleotides) under Cricetulus griseus (Chinese hamster). Lineage: Eukaryota; Metazoa; Chordata; Mammalia; Rodentia; Cricetidae. The record is from RNAcentral.
UAACGUCGUUUGGACCUGGAGUCCUU